CUGCCCGAAAUGCUUGAGUACUGGCUAUCUGGGAUGUGGCUUUUUGGGCCUUUUUUGUGCCAUGUCACGGUGCCCUUUACAGGCGGGCUCGUUCAUGGGCGUGGUAUACAUACAUGCGUGUGUCGCGCUCCUCUGAUGGGUCCGUGCUGGGUGAACCUAUCGAAGCAUCACACGGUAAUUGCCCACCACAGCUCGUUGCUUGGUCACCCGCUGGGUCUGAACGUGCAGGAUGCUCAUCCAGUUUCCGGACUGUGAAUGUUGACGCGUGUAUGGGCGAUGGUACCGUACGGAGGGCUUUUCCGUGCGCGUACGCGCUCGCGUCACGUCCGUGAUCCUGGCUCUGACUGCCGACUUGUAGACGUGGUGUGAUCCAUUCGGCGACGAAGCUGGAAUUGGCCAGACACAUGCAACCCCAGCACUGCGGCCACGUGUCGGUCGCAGUGUACCUGCGGGCAGGCUGCCUGCGUCGCAUGUUUUUUUGAUGCAUACGCUCAGCCUGGGAGUUGGUCUGAUUGGUGAUGAUCUGGCGACCAUCGGUCACGUCUCGAAACACGGGCCAAGGAGUAUAGCAUGUGUGCGAGUCU
This 584-nucleotide ribosomal RNA is filed under the name Chiltoniidae sp. EP1b. RNAcentral's name for it is "partial 28S ribosomal RNA". RNAcentral also lists the same sequence under 1 other name. Lineage: Eukaryota; Metazoa; Arthropoda; Malacostraca; Amphipoda; Chiltoniidae. The record is from RNAcentral.